UUCUAAGGGCGGUGAAGUCAGACCGGAAGGACUGGUGGAGCGCUUAGAAGUGAGAAUGCCGGUAUGAGUAGCGAAAGAAGGGUGAGAAUCCCUUCCACCGAAUAUCUAAGGUUUCCUGAGGAAGGCUCGUCCGCUCAGGGUUAGUCGGGACCUAAGCCGAGGCCGAUAGGCGUAGGCGAUGGACAACAGGUAGAGAUUCCUGUACCAGUGCUAAUUGUUUAACCGAUGGGGUGACACAGAAGGAUAGGGAAUCGCACGAAUGGAAAUGUGCGUCCAAGCAGUGAGUGUGAGAAGUAGGCAAAUCCGCUUCUCGCGAAGCAUGAGCUGUGAUGGGGAAGGAAAUUAAGUACGGAAGUUCCUGAUUUCACGCUGUCAAGAAAAGCCUCUAGGAAGAGUAGUACUGCCCGUACCGCAAACCGACACAGGUAGAUGAGGAGAGAAUCCUAAGGUGAGCGAGAGAACUCUCGUUAAGGAACUCGGCAAAAUGACCCCGUAACUUCGGGAGAAGGGGUGCUCUAUUAGGGUGCAAGCCCGAGAGAGCCGCAGUGAAUAGGCCCAGGCGACUGUUUAGCAAAAACACAGGUCUCUGCAAAACCGUAAGGUGACGUAUAGGGGCUGACGCCUGCCCGGUGCUGGAAGGUUA
RNAcentral lists this ribosomal RNA (643 nucleotides) under Listeria monocytogenes. RNAcentral's name for it is "partial 23S ribosomal RNA". It matches the Rfam family "Bacterial large subunit ribosomal RNA", at positions 1239 to 1879 of the family's 2925-position model. Lineage: Bacteria; Bacillati; Bacillota; Bacilli; Caryophanales; Listeriaceae. The record is from RNAcentral.